RNAcentral lists this ribosomal RNA (46 nucleotides) under Melampsora epitea. Its description in RNAcentral is "partial 18S ribosomal RNA". It matches the Rfam family "Eukaryotic small subunit ribosomal RNA", at positions 1787 to 1831 of the family's 1831-position model. Lineage: Eukaryota; Fungi; Basidiomycota; Pucciniomycetes; Pucciniales; Melampsoraceae. The record is from RNAcentral.
AGUCGUAACAAGGUUUCCGUAGGUGAACCUGCGGCAAGGAUCAUUA